This is a long non-coding RNA of Pogoniulus pusillus (Red-fronted tinkerbird), 527 nucleotides long. RefSeq lists it as uncharacterized. The record is from RefSeq and is a predicted model, not a curated record. The transcript has 4 exons. Lineage: Eukaryota; Metazoa; Chordata; Aves; Piciformes; Lybiidae.
AAAGGAGGGGGAAGGAGGCUGUCCCGGACCCAGGUGAAUGGAGGAACCUGACAGUUGGGGGGAGUGAAGCGGCUGCGGCGGGCAAAUGGCGGCGGCGGCAGCAGCAGCACCACCACCACCACAAUGAAACGCGGCCUGUAGUGGGGGGAAGCACCGGGCUGGGUCCCGUCCGAGCAGGUUACCUAGGGUGAAACAAAAUUACAGUCUUGGAGACUCUGGAAAAGCUCAGCAUCAGCAUUUGAGUUCAUAGGUUUUGUUGUUGUUGUUAAGAGCCGAAGCUUGCAUAUUAUGUGAUUAAUCUACAAGCUGAUAUCAUGAUGUCAAAAUGCAGUUCGGGAAGCAUAAACACAGAGACUGCAGAAAUUAAAACGAUCUAUGCUUUCAAUACAAAUGAAGGCCAGGACUCAGAAGCUUCAGCACAGCGGGAAGUAGCAUUGAUGAUUGAAGCAGGAGAACUCGAGUUUUCACCUGAGUUGGCCUAAAUUCCUUCCCACUCUGUGCUAUUUCAAGUGUGUUUUACCUCAUGC